Molecule: long non-coding RNA, 2049 nt
Filed under: Mytilus galloprovincialis (Mediterranean mussel)
Lineage: Eukaryota; Metazoa; Mollusca; Bivalvia; Mytilida; Mytilidae
Source: RNAcentral
AGAGUUGUACAAGACAAAGAACUUACAUAACGGAGAUAAACAUUGACAAUAAGAUGUUAGAGGGAGGAGAGGAUUCAAUCACAACCAAUGGUACUCUACAGAGACACUUAAACUCACAGGCUGGUAAAACACUUCAUAAAUGUGAUGUUUGUGCUAAAGAAUUUUCUCGAGAUAGUCACUUAAAGAGACACUUGAGAACACAUACUGGCGAAAAACCUCACAAGUGUGAUGUUUGUUUCAGAAAAUUUAGUCAAAGAAGUUACUUAAAAGGACACAUGAGAACACAUACUGGUGAAAAACCUCACAAAUGUGAAGUUUGUUUUAGAACAUUUACACAAAGUAGUCACUUAAACAGACACUUGAGAACACAUACUGGUGAAAAACCUCACAAAUGUCACACAUGUGAUGUUUGUUUUAGAAAGUUUACUCAAGGUUAUGACUUAAAGAAACAUAUGAGAACGCAUACUGGUGAAACACCAUAUAAAUGUGAUGUCUGUGUUAGUGAAUUUUCUCGAAGUGGUGACUUAAAGAAACAUGUGAGAACUCAUACUGGUGAAACACCUCAUAAAUGUGAUGUUUGUGGUAGAGAAUUUGCUUGUAGUAGCAACUUAACGGCACACAUGACUACACAUACUGGAGAUAAACCCUAUGACUGUGGAGAAUGUGGUAAAGGGUUUAGUCACCUUGGUAAUUUACAGAUGCACAUGAGAACACAUACAGCUGAUAAACCUUAUGUCUGUGAUGUAUGUGGUAAUGGAUUUAGACUGCUUGGUAUUUUACAGGCUCACAUGAGAACACAUGCAGUGGAUAAACCUUAUGACUGUGGAGAAUGCGGUAAAGGGUUUAGUUGCCUUCGUUAUUUACAAAUUCACAUGAGAACACAUACAGGUGAGAAACCUUAUGACUGUGAUGUAUGUGGUAAAAAGUUUAGUCAACCUAGUAAUUUAAAGACUCAUAGGAGAACACACACAAGAGUUAAACCUCAUGACUGUAAUGUAUGUGGUAAAAGGUUUAGUGAGCAAGGUGACUUACAGACUCACAUGAGAAUACAUACAGGUGAUAUAAAAACCUGAUGACUGUUGUAAAUGUGGUAAAGGGUUUAGUCAAAUUUCUAGUAUAAAAAGAGACAUGAAAAGACAUUCACGUGUUUAACCUUAUGACUGUAUUGUAAGUGGUAAAGUGUUUCAUCAUCUUUGUGAUUGAAAAAGACAUGUAAGAAUACAUACAGUGAUAAACCUGAUGCCUGUGAUGUAUGUGGUCAAAAGUUUAGUUAGCAUGGUGGUUUACAGAUUCACAUGAGAACACAUACAGGUGACAAACCCCACAACUGUGAUGUAUGUGGUAAAGCCUUUAUUGAAAGUAGUAACUUUUAAAGAAACUCAUUAAAAUACAUAUGAGGGAUAAAACUCCUAAAUCGAAUUUUUGUUCUAAAGAUUAAUGUUGAACAAAUCCCUUAAAGAUUCUGUAUACAUGUAAGAAUGUUCACGAAGAAGUGGCUUCAGCCUUACACAUGUAACAGAGGACACAUACUUAUGACGAACAGAUAAUGAGCAUAUGAUGUGAGAUGCUUUAGAAGAAGCGUCUUUAAGAGACCCAUAAGAACACGAAUUGGAAAUAACUGCACAAUCUUCUAAAGAGACACACGAGAACAGAAACUGAAAAUACCUAUGUUGAUUUCUGUGUCAUUUGGUCUCUUUUGGAGAGUUGUCUUAUUGGCAAAAAUAUUCUUUUUGUUUUAUAUAAAUCCUUAUAAAAAGACACAUGAGAUUACAUAGGCUAGUUGAAAUAACUAUAAAACCUUAAAACGAGACACAUGAGAACACCUUUAUAUUUAAAUUACAAUGAAACCCUAUAAAGAGACACAUGAGAACACAUUUUUUAAAUUACAACGAAACCCUUUAAAGAGACACAUGAGAACACCGUAUUUAUUUAAAUUACCUUAAAUUUUAAAUUAAAUGAAAUGACACCUUAUUUAAAUUACAAUGAAACCCUUUAAAGAGACACACGAGGACACCUACUGAUAAUAACUAUAAAUCCCUGUGAAGAGAC